UUCUUGUAUAAUAAUUAUGUACAUUUCAUAAUUGUUAUUUUAUGUACUAAAUUUCACAUUUGCUGCAAUAUAGAAAUUGCAAGCAAGGGCUCAGCCCCCUCUAAUUUGUUCCUAUUACAAACUCAAUUGUUUGAAACCAAGAUUAUCCAAUCGUUCACAGGAAUUGAACUUAUUAAAGGUGGGUGUGGUAUACACACCCAAUAAUUUUCAUGCCAUAUUAGAUGCUUAAGUGUCAUGCCUGUACUGUGGCUAGAUCUAACUCCAUGAUUGUAUCAGGACUGAUUGCCCAUACAAAUUUUAUGGUCCUUGUCUGAUCAUCAGGACUGAUUCAGGUUGACACCAGUCCUGAUCCACAUGCCAAUAUUAGGUUGUACCAUAUGUAAUCCUUAAAGAGUUGUAAUGCAAGAAAACUUCUCUGGUGUCCAGAGCAGCAUAGAAUGUUGACUGACUCCUUACGUAAGACAUGGAUUGAUGUACUGGAACCCACUGGAGUAUAAUAUAGUUACAUGUGAUGUUAUACAUAAGUGUAGCCUCUAUAUAAUGGACACUUUGGUAGGAGAAAGUUGCUCUGUCAGAGUUUGAUGCUAUACCCAUAUACUCAAUGAAAUGGUUACAGUGUUUAUUAACAUAUGGAUACCAUGAGGGGGAGGAGCCUGACAUCACUGAUAAUGAUAUUCACUUGAUACCUCAGCUAAUUGAUAGAGUAUUGAUAUUAAAGAUUAACAGUUUUGUUGCCAGUGGAUGGGACCCCUGUCUAGUGCUCAGACCCAGUGUCUUGUAAAAUCCCUCCAGUACAUACAGGAAGAGUUUCCUACUGUCUCCCCUCAAACUGAUAAUUUCAAAGACCUCCAGAGAAGUUUAAUAAAGAGAAUACAAGAAUCAAUCAAUGAAGACAUGUACAUACCACUAAUGAAUAAAAGUCAGUUAGAAGCCACCAAUACUCAUUCAUACAGUUUCUAUCAAAGACAAUAUUGGAAAUCAAUGAAGACUCAAUGAAAUGGUUACAGUGUUUAUUAACAUAUGGAUACCAUGAGGGGGAGGAGCCUGACAUCACUGAUAAUGAUAUUCACUUGAUACCUCAGCUAAUUGAUAGAGUAUUGAUAUCAAAGAUUAACAGUUUUGUUGCCAGUGUAUGGGACCCCUUGUCUAGUUCUCAGAUCUAGUG
This is a long non-coding RNA of Amphimedon queenslandica, 1165 nucleotides long. RefSeq lists it as uncharacterized. The record is from RefSeq and is a predicted model, not a curated record. The transcript has 7 exons. NCBI's taxonomy places the organism in Eukaryota, Metazoa, Porifera, Demospongiae, Haplosclerida, Niphatidae.